Molecule: long non-coding RNA, 20099 nt
Organism: Pan troglodytes (chimpanzee)
Lineage: Eukaryota; Metazoa; Chordata; Mammalia; Primates; Hominidae
Exons: 12
Source: RefSeq, a predicted model, not a curated record
UAUAAUGCCCUGUAAAGAAACUGUUGUGUUUGCAUAGGUGUAUAAAUUAUAGAGAAAAGAAGUUAAUUUUAUGAAAAACUAACUUUAUUAUUUAAUUAAAUCAAAUAAACCACUAUAUUAUCGUGUGCCAUACUCUUCUCUAAAUGCUUUACAAAUAUUAACUAAUCUAAUUAACCCCAUGAGUUCGACACUCUUAAAUAUACAUCUUACACAUGAACAUAUGAAAGUACUGAGAGGUUAAGUAACAUCCUCAAGGUAUCAAAACUAGCAAGUGGCAGAGCCCUCUUGGGUUCCGUUAUGAAUAGAUUAUCCGAUAAUCUAGCCAAACAUUACUCCCUUCUCAAUUUCUUUCAUAAUGUUAAUAUAUUGUGCAUCAUGGGGCCAUGGCAAUGUCUCAGUGCAAAGAUUAUGAGUAGAUUCUCCUUUACUCAAAACUUUGAUUUGCCUAGACAAGGCUCUUUUACUUUUUGGCUUCAGAACUACUCAAUUUGGGGGCAUAUGACAUUGCUAAAGAAAAAUUACCCAAUGAUACUUGCUAAACUAUGGUAAGGGAGACUUCAUUCAGGACCAUGGGAAUAGGUAUAGGGACCACUGCAAUAGGGUCUUGAAGUUGGGGAGUGUGAGUUCAACUCUCAAUAUAGUGUGGACAAGUGAGAAUUUAUAGACAAGGUGCAGAUUCGGGGAUCAGUGGAUGGACAAAUACUAAGAGGAAACUUCAAGGAUAAGGGGGAUUCUGGUUAAACUGACCUAACAGGAUUUUUGCUGAAGACAGGCUAGAGUGAUCAGACAUUACUUGGGGGAUGGUGGAUGAUGAAGAACCUGAUUAGACAUUGAAGAUGAUCAUAUAUCAAGGAUGGGACUCUGGGAUUCUUACUAAACUAACUUACCAAGAUUCUUUGCUAAAACUGAAUUUUACAAGGAAGUACAGAGAUGGGCCUAGGAGAAGUUUCCGAAGACUGACUAGCGUAUGGCCAGGCAAAUAAUCUUUGUUGAUGUUUAAUUAAAAUGCCAGACUAUUUUCUAUGAUAGGUCUUAUCACAAAUGUACUCUGCACUCCUUUUAUAUAUUAUCAUUUUGCACUCAACUUGGGCCAGUGACCAGCCUUGGCAGGAGAAAAGGGUUGAGUUCCUGGCGGAGGUUCACGUGACCUCUGCUUUCCUCUGCAGACCCACCAGGCACUUUGCUAGCACAUCUACAAAUAGAGCCCUCUCCUUCCUCUUUCAUUUAGAGCUCGCCAGCCUUUCAUAAGCUUUCCUUUUCUCAGGCCUUAAGAAUCUCCCAGAUUUCUUUGAUUGCUAGUCCUUUUCUGAGAGUCGCUUCUCCACCUCUUCCUGCCUUUUGUCUUUCCUUUUCUGUUUUUUUUUUCUUUUCAUCUCUUUCCUCACUACCCUUCACACAGAGACUCAAAGCUUGCCCCACCACUUGGCCCAUUGCCAACUUAGCAGUUCUCAGUAAUACACUGUAGCUCUCCAGACUGUUUGGUUCAACUGCUUUAUUUACAUAUAUAUAUUUCACGCCCCCGACACCACCUCCCCCCUUGGGAGAGCCCUUUGUGGUGAGAAAAGUCAAGUUUAUUUUUGUAAAGGGUUAAUGUUUCACAACCUUCUUGGUAAUAUAAGAUUUGUGUCAAACACUUUAACUCAUACAGAUUCUGUAUUUCCUUGGCAGGGAGAAAAUGUAUAAAAUAACAAAGGUAUCCUAUCCUAUUCCUCAUAAUAAACACAACAUAAAAAUCAUAUAGUAAAUCACAACAAAAUUAUACAGAGAGAAAGCGAGAAACUUCAUACUAAUUUGGUAUUAAAAUUAUAGAUUAACCUUAAGGAAAAUUAACCUGAAUUUCUGAAUGCCUAUAGUCUAAUGAGAAAAAGGUCUGACACCUUUUAAAUUUUUCCAUAUAGUCUCACCUUUUAUAUAUUUUUAACACUAAAAUACCUCUGGAUAAAAAUACACAUGCAUUCUAUUUAUAUAAAGUAUUUUUUCCCUUUAAUUAAUUCUUGCAAUCUACAAUGAUAGGCAAGUCAGGUAUAAUUUUUCUCUUUGUUAUUGCACUCAGACACUCAUGCAAAAAUAGUAAAAUGUUUUAUUUUUAUUUUUUUUACUUUACUGAAAUUGGUGGCUUACAUCAUACUGAGGGGCCCACAUGAAUAUUUGUUUUUAAAUUAGGACCAUAUUCUCAAUUCGCUACACAAUAAAGGGAUUAUACAUUUAAAAGAACUGUAUGCAAUCAAGAAGAAAUUUUAAUUAAUCACAAAUAGAACUGGCCCAAUGGAAAUAAUUUGACCCGACAGUUUGAGGUUUGAUCAGCACAACACAGAGAUUAAGAAGACUUUUGACCUGAACAGAGUCGGAGUUGGUUCAAGUCUGGAACUUUAGAAAGGGAACACUAAUGGGUUCAAAUCACACAAUAUCAUUGUUUCCCAUAAUGCUACCAUCCCAUUAGCAACCAGUGAGAAACUUGCUUAGUUUUCUGUAGAAACCAUCCAGUAGCAUAUAUAGCUCUGGUCCACAAUGAAGCAACAGAGAUUAUGCCACAACAAACUAUACUCUUUCUCUCAUGUUCUCUAUAUGCAAAAACUGAGCCAGCUGCUUUGAAGCACUAAUUGACUGUCGGUAUCAAUUAGGGGCCUGACUGCUUUCUAACUUACAUUUAUGUCUCCACAGUAACCACAUUGGUAUUUGGGGGAGAUUGGGGGUACUUACUGAAAAGUCCUUAAAUAUGUACAACAUAAAAGAAUAACUGAGGUUUUGGAAAAGCUAGUUAGAACAGGGCCCAGCAACUCUUAGUUUUUUAACAGCAUCUUUGUGUUGAAAGCUGAAAGUUUUACUAAAAUGGAAUUCUUUAUUAGAGUAGCAAUAUCAAUAUAUAAAUAAAUGGAUUAUACAGCAAAAAUACCAGCCCAAGAGAAAGAAAAAACUUAAAAAAUAGGAGCACGGAGAGUGAAGAACUCCAAUGAUGACUUCUGUCGUAAGAACAAUAGAUAAAAAAACAUGACGUAGAGUAAAAGGCAGAAUAUGUGGUGGGAAGAAUUUGACUCUAAUGCUAGAGAAACACAAGUUUGCUUCUUGCUUGCCACUUGCUAGCUGGUAUAACUUUUAGAAACUGAGUCCCAGUUUUCUCGUAUGUUAAACUGAGAUAUUGAUGUCACCUUUGCAGGUAUGUUGGGGGAAAUUAAAUCAACUAAAGCUUAUAGGAGACAAUGAGUCAUUUCUGGUACAUAGUAGGUGCUCUGUAAAUAUCAGGUAUUAUCAUCAUCAUCAUGAUGUCAGGGCCUGGAAAAGAGAAAAUGCAAGUAUAAUAUAAAUAAUGCCUAACAUUGAAAAUAAACAAAAAAAUCCAUCACUUUGAAAAAAAAAAUGGUAGACUUAUUCUGUUACCUCGAAUACCAAACUAAAUCCAUUGCAUUGAAUUACGAUGAGAAAUUUAAUUUCAUAAGAGCAAGUACUUUUCUAACAAUUAGAACAGCAUGGAAUCUGAAAUUAACCUGAUUGUGGAUAACCACCUAUCAGAUUGUUAGAGAUAGGAUGAUGCCUAUAUUGAGAUAAAAUGGACCUAGAGUUUUUAUUAAGUAAGAUAUUUUAUAAUUAUAGUAUUUCUCACUAAAAAGAAAUCUAUGGAUUGGUGGGCUUCCUGAAAUUAUUACAGGAUAAAUAUUAAUAAUUAGAAAGUUCACGGCUAUAUUAUGAUGACAGAAAAUAUAACACUAAUCUAUAAGAAAUGAAAUUGGUAUAGAAUUACAGUAAACAGGGAUUAAAAUAUCUUGGAUACUUACUAUUAUAGUUUGAUAUUCUGGAAUUGUACAUGAUAUACAUCAAGGAAUAGUAGCAAUUAAACAUUGAGCCAUCAAAAUGAUGAACAAAUAACAAUUAAACAUAGAGUUUAUAUAGUUUCCAGAUUACUAAAAUGAAAGGAGUACUGAAAUUUUUCUUAAAGCAAAUUGUGGCCCUUGAACAUUGGUCAGUAACAAUUUUCAUGUUACAUUAUUAGAGUUUUGGAAAAGAUCGUUCUUUAGAAAAUCUAUAAAUGAUGCAACAAUAUGUUUAUUGUAAACAAGAAAAAUACAUAAUAAUUGCAUUCACUCUAAGACUAAUUAAAAACUUGUGUGAUAAGCCUGUUUAAUAAAACUUUACAUAAUCAGAAACAAGAUAUUCUGUUCUUGCACUGCUAUGAAGAAAUACCUGAGACUGGGUAAUUUGUAAAGAAAAGAGAUUUAAUUGGUGCAUGGUUCCACAGGCUAUAUGGGAAGCAUGUCUGGGGUGGCCUCUGGAAACAUACAAUCAUGGUGGAAGGCAAAUGGGAAGCAGGCACAUCUUCACAUGGCUAAAGCAGGAGCUAAAGAGAGAGAUGAGAUGGCAAACGUGCUACACACUUUUAAACAACCAGAUCUUGUGAGCACCUACUUACUAUCACUAGAGCAGCACCAAGGGGGAAAUCCAACCCCCAUGAUCCUAUCACCUUCCACCAGGCCCUACUUCCAACACUGGGGAUUACAAUUGACAUGAGAUUUGGGUGGGAACACAGAUCCAAAAACAAACCGUAUCACAAGAUGUUUUUGAUCCUGUUGGUAGGAAACAACCACAAGAUAUCAGUGCAGAUUAUUUCUUCACUUCAGAGAGAACACUUCAUUUUAGGGUUCUGAAAUUAAGCAUGCCAUUUUCAUAUAACAAAUGCACAAGUAAAAAUGUACCCUGAGCCAUCAAUGAUUCAAUCAUUAAUGAUUCAAUCAAUGAGUCAAUCAUUUACUGAUGAUUAUGAAAACAAGAGGUAGGAUGUUUUAAUAUAUGGAGCAUAAGACUAAGUGGUAAAAAAUAGGUUCUAGUCAUGAUUCUGACACUCUUUAGGUCUGACAUUGGGAAAAUCACUUAAACUCUUUGAUUGCAAUUUCUUCAUUCAUUAAAUUAUAGCAUUGGGCAGUAUAAUCCUUAAGGUCUUCUCAGAUUAGAAAUUUUUCUAAUCUCAGAUGAAUAAAUCUUUGAUUACAAUCCAUUAUCCUAACUAGGACCAACUGUUAUUAAUUGUAAUAUAUUUGUACAGAGAUAUGUAAUUUAUUAGAACUCCUACUGAAAAUUAAUUCCUAACUUCAAAAAUGUUAUAUUGUGUUUCCCUGACAAAUCCAUGGGUAGGAGAUCAGAGCUUGGAAACGAUUUCUCUUUUGAAUCAAAAGCUUUAGGUUUCUAUAACUCACGUAUUUUAGUUAGAAAAUUGGUGAAGCCAAAUCUCCACUCUGAUUUCCUGGGCUUUGCCAAAAGGAUAAAGAGAUUCACUGGGCAAGUUGGUAGUGUCUUUCCCCCAGGACUGCUAUAAAGCAUCAUGGUCUUUGCUAUGUAACUUCUCCUGAACCUUUCUUUAAAAUACAGAGUCUACUGACUUCCUUAAGUUUAAGGUCAACGUUACUCACUGAAGCAACUCCAGAUCUGAAGAGAGUUUCCAAAAUGCAAAAGUUUAUCUGGGAGAAGAUAGAUAUUUUUCAACAUAAUUUAAACAUUACCUCUAUGUUGUUCAAGACUGUGAUAUAUUGAUUUCCUCAUUGUACUUUUUUGUUUAUGGAUAAUAGAGUCAUUGAGAGAAAGUAUUCCUAAACAAAGAGAAAAUAAAUGGCAAUGCAAAAUAGCAUAGGAAAACUUAUUGGUAUUUUAUAGUUGAAAGAUAUCUUUUUUUUCUCCAACGUUCUGGCUUAAAUUUUUCUUAGUAUUUUCUAAUUUCUUCUGGUUUAGAAUUACUUUGAACUAUGCUUCACUAUAGCUUCCUUCUACAAGACUCAGACAAUGCAUAAGAUUAACAAAAAUCUGCUUAUUAUAUUUUCACAUGUCCAAGGCCAAACUAAUUGCAGGUAACAAUAAAGAAACAUUGGUAUUGACUUAAAAGAGUCAUGGUUUACUCUCUGAGUCUGGGGAUAUUCUCAUUGUGUGUGAAGACCCUGGCUUUGCAAAAGAGGGAGGAUAAUGAAUUAAAUUAGAAGGGAAUAAGGUGGGAAUAGUUCUUAGGUAACUACCUGAUAGAUUUGUUUCUCAGUUGUGCAAACCAGAGAAAGAAAACCUGUGGGAUAAUUGGUAUAAGCAAAGAGCAUUAUCAUCAUCCAUCUCCCAUUCUGAUAACAAGAUGUAUUUUGCAUUGAAAAAACUAUCCUCUAGAUCUAUGCUUCUUAAAUUAGUUAUGCAAUUACAAAAGAAAGCAUGAUUCAUUGAAGUUUAGAUGAAAUCUUCUGAUUUCAUAGGAUAUUGUGAGCCAAUUAUGCUAUUGCUGUUUAUAUGUCUAUAAUAGCAAAGGAUAUGCUCUCAGGAACACAAUGUAUAUUAUAUUUAUGUAGUCAAUAUAAUUAGAACCCAGAGAACAAUUUAACCCAUAUUCAAUAGGUCUUGAUGCCUAGAAUGUGGUUUAUUUUACUCCUGCAGAAUAAAACAUAAAAAAUGUAGAGCUUCAAAUUUGUUUAACAAAGGGAGGAUGUGGUUAAUCUUAAAAAAAAAAUGUCACAUUUUCUGAAUUUUAUGAAGAGUAUUAGGCAGUGAUUAAAUAAAAGAUUGACUGACACUACUUUAUACAAAUCUAAUGCAAUUAUUCAAACCAUUCAAUAAUAUUAGAAGUAGAAUGUCCUGUUUAGAGAGCUUUAUAAACCAAGCUCAGGCCAGGUGCUUUAGCUAGCCACAUUCAAUUUUCAAUCUCUGGUUGUGCACUUAUACAAUGCAUAAGAAUUAGUUGAAAGGAUUAAUAUUUUAGAUAUUCAAUAUAGUUUUGUAAAUUGAUUUAGGUAAAGGACUGUAUAACUUUACAUUGAAUUUACUUGCAUUUUGGUGUUGUGAAAACACGUAAACAUCUCAACAUAUGUUGGUAAAAGAAAAGAUAGAAACAAUGGUUUUAUACCUGGCACUUAGAAGCCAUCACAUAUCUGAAUAAGAUAUCUGAACCCCAUUUUUAAUGAAAUUUUAGCAUGUGCUUUUGACACCUCAUGUAUUUUCCUCAGGCCCACCUCUGAUGUGAACUGCAGCUGCAUUAGAAAAAUCCCAUGUUUGCUGAUAGCAUCCCACAUCACAUGCUCAACACAUAUUUCUCUAAUUUUCUGCCUCAGGUACUUCUCAGGAUUCUGUUUAGCCCACAUGGAAAUGCAGCCUGAAAGCUUGGAGGGACAAUUUUCUGAAAUAUUCUAUGUGGGUCUCGGCUGACAAGAUGUAAAAAGCUCAACCUUGUAUUGACUCUUCUCCUGAAUCUGUCUUACUAGCCCGGUUGCUUCACUUUUUCUCCCUUAGAUUGCUUCCAUAUAAACUACCUGCUUGUUUUAAGCUCCAUUUUUUUUUCAUGAAUGCAAAGGAAUAUGAAAACUUUUUGAAACUUAUUAUAUAAUAUUAUUUAUUCUUUAAACAUUUAUUGAACACCUAUAAUGUGCUAGACCCUGUGGUAAUUCCUGGAAAUGCAAGGAGAAAAUGGUCAUUUCCUGUGAAAUCAGGUAGAAUACAGCCCAAUAGUAAAACAUGACACUAAGUGAAAUCAUAGUUUAGGGCUAUGAUAGACCCUCCAUGGUGGCACACAGGAUGAGAGUGCCUUUUUUGUAAAGUAAGGGGGAGAAUUUAGAUAUGUUGGAGACUACAUAAAAGAAAUUGAGACUUGAAUUAAUAUAAUUCUAGGGCAUGGAGCAGGAGAAGGCUAGAAAAAGAAGUCAGAGAAAAGUUAGAAUAUAAAAUAGUCUUACAUGCUUGUCCCAGGAAAUUUAAGAAAUUUUCUAAGAGUAUUACCUAGAAAGAUAAUUUGGAAAGAGAUCAUCAAAUAUCUUAUUUCUGGGUUUGAUAGAUAAAUGAGAAUAAAUAAAUUAAUCUAUUCUGUGAUCCUAAGUUAUUUUAACUAAAGACCGACAUGUAUGUUGAAUGUAUGCAUUAAAACCUGUAUACUAAGGUUUAUUACCUAAUGGAAUAAAAUGAAGAGCUCAAACACAACCUAUUUUGCAUUCUGGAUGGGUUAGGGUAGCUGAAUAAAGGACUUCAGAGCAGGCACUUUAACGACUUUGGUUUCUAUGCACUAAUAUGUCAUGUGGACAUAGCUAUUAAUACAAAAAGAAGACAAACAUAUCCUUUAUAAAAAUGUACAAAUGCUCAUCUACCUUUUUAGGCAAGAACAAUUUCCAAGGCUUGAUUGCCUUCUAGAGAAAGACGUUUUUACCUUAAUUUGACCAUAAUGUCUUGGAGAAAAGUUUCUUGAAGUUGUAUACCUAUGUGAUGGGCAUUUUAGUAUGUAUGUGUAUGUGUGUCUGUGUGUGUCCAGGAGAAGAAUGUGAAAACUGUAGACCAUGGGAAAUAUGAGAUAACAUACCUUUACCACACAAUGGUGGAGGGACCUCAAAAGGGAAUACUCUUGGCAGUCCCAUCCUCACAAACCUCGAUCACCAUGUGUUCUCAUUUCAGACUCCAAUACUCAAAACUCUGGAAGUUGUACUCCUGUGUGUUUCUGAGACAGUUUUAUUUUUCCGGAUGAAAAAAGGGUUGUCUGGCCUAUGCUAACGCCAUCUCUGUUGGUAAUGCAUGGAGUAUCCUGAUGGAUUUGGAAGUUUAAAUCAUGAAAAAUUGAGGGAGGAAGAUCAGAGCAGAGUUCAAGACCAGGAACGCUAAGGAAGGGGCGCAGCAUUGUGGGAAAGGAUGUGAGAAUCCAGCAGAAGUGCUUACUGCAGGCACGGACCACUGUGGAAAAGCAUCCAGAGAUGCUUCUGUGGUUGUCUGUCCUGGCUAAAGACUCCCAAAUAAUAUUAGAGUUUGGAGAUGAGGGUUAAUGGACUGAUGGUGAUGGAAAAGAUAGCUCAGAGAUAUUUCAAGCAGGCUGCAAGAAUCUCCCAAUUUCGUCCAUCACAAAUCCAUUGUUGAUCCUGAAUGCAGGCUUCAGCUGGCAAAGGAAAGGAAAUACAGAGUUCAAAGCAAGUUUUAUUGUUACGAUUACAUAGCAUCCUUCGGUUCUCCAAUGUGACUCUGGGAAGCUCUGUUCCCAAGCUACCAAGUGUCUGAGACUACACCUACUUGCUCAAUAGCUUAUCAUGACUAAUGACCAUGGAUGAUGUCCCUGAAGACAAGAGUUAAGACCAAAGGAAGACCUAUAACAUGGAAGAUCAUGAUCCAUCUGCACUCUUGGUGAGAGAAGCAAAGAAGUUAUCUUAGAAAGAAAAUAGUUGAAGCUACUAUCAUGUAGUAGAUGUGCACGGCUCAGUCCACAGAUACACAUUUUGGAUAUGCCACCUACAGAUGAUGUAAGUGUUGUCAAGUUUCCUUUCCUGGAUUUUAUGUUCUUCAGGAUAAGAAACAGAAGUACAUAAUUUGGCAAAAAGAAAAGUGAUUCUCCUUUUGCCUAAGAGGCAAAUGUUUUAGUGAUGUGCACAAUGAAAACACUACAAAUUCCAACUGAUAUGUGAUGCUGUUCUAAAUGUGGGAGUGACAGAGAUGGAGUUGAGAUGUUGUUGAUCACAGCAGGAAAUGUCAUCAUAAGAAUUUUGUAAAUGAAGAUUUAAUAAGUUCAUGUGGAUAAACCACUUAGAACACUGCCUUCCACAGAGCAGAUCCGAGUAUUAUUUUAGGAGAGAUGAAGUAGGAACAUGAUUGAUAAUUAACAUUGAUUGGUGAAAUUUUGUGAUCUGGAGUGAAGUUUUACGAUUCCUUCCUCCCUUCAGCCAUUUAUUUUUUGGAGACAGGGUCUCACCUUGUUGCCCAGGAUGGAGUGCAGUGGCAUGAUCUCAGCUCCCUGCAACCUCUGCCUCCCUGGCUCAAGCCAUCCUCCCACAUCAAGCUACUGAGUAGCUGAGACUACAGCUCGACUCUGAUUUGAAGAGUAGGAUGGUUAAGGACAUCAGAAAGAAUUUCACAGAGAAAAGGGUCGAAACAGAGCAUGCAAAACCACAAAGAGUCUCAGUCUUUUGCCCUCACCCAGGCAGGAGUGCAGUGGUGCAAUCUUGGCUCUCUGCAGCCUCCACCUCCUGGGCUCAAGCGAUCCUCCAAUCUCCACCUCCCGAGUAGCCAGGACUACAGCCAUGCGAAGAUGUACCUGCUUCUGCUUCAUCUUCCGCCCUGAUUGUAAGUUUCCUGAGGCCUCUCCAGAAGCAGAAAUCUGGAAAGUCUGCAGAACUGUGAGCAGAUUAAACCAUUUUUCUUUAUAAAUUACCCAGUCUCAGGUAUGUCUUUAUAGCAAUGUGAGAACUAAUACACUCAGACUGAGAAAAGUUAGUGACUUAUCUAACAAUAUAUAAUACCUCUCAAUUCAGUUUUCUUAUUAUUCUGAGGAAAUGUUUUAAACACAUGUGAGUUUGAAAGUAAAGUAAAUUAUAAUAAGUUUAGGCACAUUAUUAUAAUAAGAAAAAGUACUCAAAAGGUAAUUGCAAUAGUUUAUGAAUAUUAACAUAGUCUAAAAUGUGUACCACACAUUCACUUUCUCUAAACCUAUUAAAUGGAAUCAAGAUUCUGAAAAAAAACUGCAAGAAAACAAUUAUUUAUGUCCAGUGUUGUCUUAAAAUGUCAUUGUAAAUGGCAAGAUUAUUUAUUCCUUUUUUUGUUUUUUAUUUCAUGUUUAGUUGACCAGAUGUUAUCCACAGAUAACUUCCCAUAAGAAUUAAAUAUAGAGACAAAAGUAUUGCAUUAAAAAUAUUGUUAGUGAGAUAGAAAUCCAGGAACCGUAUGUGAGAAACCUUAAUCCUUCUCUUUAUUUCACAAGUUGGGAACAAGUUCCAGUAGUAAGUAGGCAGAUGGUGUAAUGAAUAUUUUACUAUAUAAGAAAAUCCAGAAGUUACUUUCAGCUCUAGGUCUGCCAUGUAAAAGCUUUGGGACUAUGAAUAAAUUAUUUAAUUUUUAAAUCACACUGUCCUCAUCUGCAAAAUAAAAUAUACUAGCCUAAAAUAAAAAUAAUCUAGUCUAAAUGCACUUUAAGAUCCUUUUUAGCUUUAACUUUACUUUUAUAGAAAGCUUCAGAGGGAUUUUGACAUGCAUUAAGGGAUAAUGGGAUAAUUUCACUAAAUGUGUUAGAAUGAGGAAAAUAAAAUUAGUUAUUAGUGCAUCAGGAACAUAAAGAAAUGUUGAAUGGAUUUUCCAUGGGAGACAACAAUGGCUCCAUCCAAGGUUAUAGGAAAAAAAAUAAAGUGAUAGAACAUAUCUUCGAAAGUAGCUUUUAACAUAUGUGCAGAGAAUUGACAUGGCACUAAGAUAUUUAUAUUUUAAUCUAUUAUUCUGGUAAUAUUGCACAAUAUGGGGCUUGAAUCACAUGACAUUCAAAAAUAGAUUUGGUAAAUCAUUUUGAACUUCAUUUUGAACAUGUCUGCAUGGACAUAGGAAAUGGAACGUUGUUUAAGAGGUUUAAGAGAAAAGAAGAAACAAGUUAGGGAGAGAUUCUAGGGAAAGGGGACGCAGGCAAGAGGGGUAUGUAUUCACAACAUUGUAUUACUCCCUUAUAACAGGGACUCUUGCAGACUGAGAUUACAUUUUGGAAGAGAGAGGGUUGAAAUUAAUGUUGACUUCUGGAAAUCAAGCCUUAUAUUAGGUCACAAAUGUACCAAAGAGGUACAAAUGAAGAAAUAAUAAAUGAAAUAAUUUAUAAGACAGGUUAUAUGUGUGGAGGGAAACUCUGCAUGCUGCAUAAGUAGGAGUUCUGGAAAAUGCCAACUCUUUUCUCAUGUGUUACUUUAGACAUCAUUCCUCCAUUAAGCCAUUCUGAAUCUAUCUAAGUCUGGAUUUUGUGCCCUCUGAUAGACCGGGACAAAUGUAGCCCAUAAGAACUUGUAUCAGUCACGAUUGUCUUUAUGCUUGCCUUUUCCCCCACUCAGAAGGUGCACAGGCAGGUUUUAUCUUAAGCAUUGUUGGGCAUUGCACUUAGCUCCAUUUUUGCCAUGUAGUAGGCUGACACAAUGAACUAAUGGUCUGUGGUGGCAGAAAUUAAGCUUGUUUGCAAAGAAACACAAUAUAACAAUAACAAUAAAUACAUCAAAAAAUAGAUGUGAAAACAGAAGUGAAGUGGUUAAAAGCUAGGGUUCUGAUGAGGAGGAGUGUUUCUUAUAUAAGAUGCACCUAUUACUGUGUCAUCAAGAAUCAGUAUCUUCAUGAUUUUCAGCCUUAGUUUCCAAAUUUGUAAAACGGAGACAACAACAAUGUCUAUCUCAUAGGGGAUUUUAGAAGUUGAAAUGAAAUAAUACAUGCUCAUGUAUAACCUAUGUAUAUGUAAUACAAGACUAAGUGCUCAAAAAUGUUUACCAUUUUUAUUAACCAUAACUUCUCCUAUAAAUGUCGUUAGAAUACAGAAGAACAAGGAAGGAUUUUCUCACAACAAUUAAGUGUGUUAAAAGUAAUAUAGAUUAUUUUGUAUCAGGAAGAAAUUUCAUCCAGCAUAAACACUUUUCAUUUCAAAAAGUAUGAGAUUAGAAAUUGUAUUCUUUCAAAACUGUAGUCAGACUGUAUAUUUCCAGUGCCUGGCACAUAUCUGUCAAAUAUGCAAAGCCAUUUCGUUUCAUUUUUUUUUAUUAUUAUGCUUUAACUUCUGGGAUACAAGUACAGAAUGUGCAGGUUUGUUACAUAGGUAUACAUGUGCUGUGGUGAUUUGCUGCACCCAUCAACCCGUCAUCUACAUUAGGUAUUUCUCCUAAUGCUAUCCCUCCCCCUAGCCUCCAACCCCUGACAGGCCCUGGUGUGUGAUGUUCUGCUCCCCGUAUCCAUGUGUUCUCAUUGGUCAUCUCCCACUUAUGAGUGAAAACAUAGUGUUUGGUUUUCUGUUUCUGUGUUAGUUUGCUGAGAAUAAUGGUUUCCAGCUUCAUCCAUGUCCCUGCAAAGGACAUGAACUUAUCCUUUUUUAUGGCUUCAUAGUAUUCCAUGGUGUAUAUGUGCCACAUUUUCUUUAUCCAGUCUAUCAUUGAUGGGCAUUUGUUCCCAUCAAUGGGAACAAGUCUUUGCUAUUGUAAGUAGUGCUGCAGUAAACAUAUGUGUGCAUGUGUCUUUAUAGUAGAAUGAUUUAUAAUCCUUUGGGUAUAUACCCAGUAAUGGAAUUGCUGGGUCAAAUGGUAUUUCUGGUUCUAGAUCCUUGAGGAAUCACCACACUGUCUUCUACAAUGGUUGAACUAAUUUACCCUCCCACCAACAGUAUAAAAGCAUUCCUAUUUCUCCACAUCCUCUCCAGCAUCUGUUGUUUCCUGACUUUUUAAUGAUUGCCAUUCUAACUGGCGUGAGUUGGCAUCUCAUUGUGGUUUUGAUUUGCAUUUCUCUAAUGACCAGUGAUGAUGAGUUUUUUUUUCAUAUGUUUGUUGGCUGCCUAAAUGUCUUCUUUUGAGAAGUGUCUGUUCAUGUCCUUCAUGAACCCCACUUUUCGAUGGGGUUGUUUUUUUCUUGUAAAUUUGUUUAAGUUCCUUGUAGAUUCUGGAUAUUAGCCCUUUGUCAGAAGGAUAGAUUGCAAAAAUUUUCUCCCAUUCUGUACUUCAUUUCUAUAUAACAACUUGGAAUCACAGUUCUAUGCACUAGAAAGGAGAUUUCCAUUUUUUUCUUAACCAAUGAAACUUCAUAUCCUCUUUGGGAAGUAGGUCAUUUAAUGAGUCAUUGGUGGAAAGAAAAUCUACUUUAAAAACACAAUACUUUCUCUUUUGUUUCACAGAUACAAGUUUCUACAAGAUGCAUUUCCCUUUACAGUUAUGAUAGUUCUCUUUAGAAUCUAAAGGUUAACUCCAGCUUGUGUGUGUAUGGUGCAUGUGCUGUGAAUGUUGUAAGAAAGCCAAUUCAAAGAGAUUAUGUAAUUUAGAAGAUAGAUGCUUUGAUUUUUUUUUCUUUUCUAAGAACCAGGGUGCUGCCUUUUCUAAUACAAGGUUGGGAAAUAGUUCUGUAGCUAGAUGGGGAUAUAUUAAUAUAUACUCACAGGGCACAUAAUGACAGUGCAAAAAUAUGCUUUCAUCAAGAACAUAAAAGAUGGAACAGAAGUAAUAUUUAACAACAGGUAGAGAUUGGUUACCAUGGCAUCUAUUACAGUGAAAGUGUCUAAAAAGCACAAUCUGUUGCUCUAUUUAAUAUAGUAAGUAUAUAUUUUUGCGUUUGUGAAGUUUUGAGAUCUAGUCUAAUGCUUUUAAUAUAUGUGAUGCUUCUAUAUGCCUUAGGAAUGACUACUAUUUCAAAAAGAAAAGGUUCCAUCUAGAACAAUAACUCAAAUAUAAUGAAUAAGUUAAUGUGUAUAUAGUAUGGAAAACCAUUCCAAAUGAUUCUGAUUGCCACUCCCAGGGGAUUAUGACUUCCUCUCACUCCCUUUAAAAUUCAAUAUGCUUUUUGGCAAUAUUUCUAGUUGUUCAUACAGCAACGAGCCUCCCGCUUUUCUUCCAUAUGUGAAUUCCAUCUAAACGAUUACAUUUUAAAAAAAUCUUUUAUAGUUACGCAUGGCCAUAUAAUACAUAUAUUUAGUGAAUGACUUUUAUCAAAGUCUGGUAGGUAUUUUUGAGAAAGUUUUGCUUUCUUGAAUUUGGUCCCAUACUUCUUUCUUCUUCUCUUGUCUGGAAUUCAAUAUGAGGCUGAAAUGGGAAUUAUCAUCUUAUAACCAUUGAGACAAAAGUCACAUGAUAAGAGUAACUUCUGUGAGGCCAGGAGUCUGGUUCUUCAGAUUUCCUCAAGUGCCCGAAUCUGUGUGGGAAUGCCCUACCUGGUGAUUUCUUAUUACUCAAAAGACAUAAAUUGGUUUCUGACCACAGUAGAGGAUUUCAAAUUCAUAUAGAUGAACACCAACUUAACCGUUACAUAAUUAACUGUUGUGUAUGGAUAGUUAUGGAGACUUAGUCCUGAAGUGUUUUUUAUUAGGAUUAUAUGAUCUAUAUACUAAUGACUCCUGUAUUUAUAUCUCCAUCUUGAAACUUCUGCCUAUUUGUCUUGGUCAUGUAAUUGUCUGGAGUACUACAAAAUUAACAAGCCCAACACAGAACCUCAAAGUACCACUUACUCACCAGCAGAAGCUGCUCAUCUAGCAGUAUUCCUCAUUUCUAGCUACAGACUCUUCUGUUCAGGUUGUUUCCCAGGCCCAAAACCUUGGGAUCAUCCUCAUUUACUCAAAACUCAUAUGUAUCAACUCAAAAGCAACUGAUUUUGUCUCUAAAAUGUAUUAUGGUAUAACCAUUUUUCACUAGUUUUAUUGCUAUUAAAUUAAUUCAAACCACUGUUGCACGUUUCAUGAGUUCUCCUAACUGGUCUUCCUACUUUCAAUCUGUCUCUCCUUCCAUGUAUUGCAACAGAACAUCAAAAGGAAUCCUAUUAAAGAGUGAGUCAAGUAGUGUCAUUUGUCUGCUCAAAACCAUCUCAUUCACAAAGCCAAAAAUAUAUGCUCACAAAGCAUGCAAAAUUUGUCCUCCAGUCAUCUCUCCUAAUACUCUCCACCUCUCUCACUCUAUUACAGAGAUUUUUUGGUGUGUACUUUUAAAUGAUUAAAGAAUUCUGUCACUCAUACUCUCUUGAAUUUUCAAGUGUAUCCUCAUUUCAAUUAUCUCAGUCUUUCUCAGUCAAGGUAGUAAUUUUGUAGGCCCUAAAAUUAACUAAUAUUAUACUAUGACAAACGUUUUGAUAAUCAGAUUUCCUUUUGUUUUCAUCAAUCUCAGCUUCAUACUAUGAGGCUUAGGAGACCUUUUCAGCAUGUUUAUUGACUUCUUAUCUGUGCCCUUAGGGACAUCCAUUCUCAACUUCAGGUUAUUCACCACUGCCUGCUACAAGUUGCUACCUUAUCUUGUGGUCCUUUGAUUCCAAAUAUUCAAUUUUUCACUAUUGUGCUUUGUCCUAUUAAUUUUCAUUCUAGAAAAUAAAUGAAACAAUGAAACAUUCUUUCACUUGCACUAGAACAGAUAAUUGCAAAUAUGGCACAUUUUUCUCAGUCUGUUGCCUAUAUCCCAUUAUUUUACACUCAUUUCUGAUUCAUUUAAGGUUAUUUGGUUGCAUUUUUAAGCUGACUUUGGCUAACAUUUUGGGGAAAAAAGGAAGAUAUUUGAAUUCUAUUUGAAUUCUAAAAAAAUUAAUCAAUAACCAUAAAACCAGAGGCAAGAACAAAAACUAAGUGGAGAGAACAAUAGAACAUUCAAAAAAUCCUGUGAUACAAACCCACAGCCAAUAUUAUAUUAAAUGGGCAAAAGUUGGAAGCAUUCCCGUUGAAACCCUACAAAAGGCAAGGAUGCCCUCUCUCACCAUUCCUAUUCAACAUAGUAUUGUAAGUCCUAGCCAGAGCAAACAGGCAAGAGAAAGAAAUAAAGGGCAAAUGGGAAGAGAGGAAGUCAAAAUAUCUUUGUUUGCAGAAAAGAAGAUUCUAUAGAUAUUAAUAGAAAACCACAUACUCUUGGCCCUUCAGCUCCAUCAGCUGAUAAACAACCUCAGCAAGGUUUCAGGAUACAAUAUCAAUGUACAAAAAUCACUAGCAUUCCUAUACACCAGCAACAGCCAAGCCAAGAGCCAAAUCAGAAAGGCAAUCCCAUUCACAAUUGCCACACACACAAAAAUAAAAUACCUAGGAAUAUAGCUAACCAGGGAGAUGAAAGAUGUCUACAAUGAAAAUUACAAAACACUGCUCAAAGAAAUCAUGGAAGAAACAAACAAAUCGAAAAACAUUCCAUGCUCAUGGAUAGGAAGAAUCAAAAUCAUUAAAAUGGACAUACUUCCCAAAGCAUUUUACAGAUUUAGUGCUACUACUAUCAAACUGCUAAUGACAUUGUUCACAGAACUAGAAAAAAAACUAUUUUAAGAUGCAUAUGGAACCAAAAAAGAGCCUGAAUAGCCCAGGCAAUCCUAAGCAAAAAGAACAAAGCUAGAGGCUUUGUUACCUGUAGAAGGAAACAACAGACACUGGGGCAUACUUGAGGGUGGAGGGUGGUAGGAGGGAGGAGCAAAAAAGAUAACUAUUGGGUACUGGGCUUAAUUCCUGGGUGAUGAAAUAAUCUGUACAACAAAUCCCCAUGACACAAGUUUACCUUCACAUUUACCCUCAACCUUAAAAUAAAAGUUAAAAACAAACAAACAAACAAAAACCAGCAAAAUUUUGUCAUAGUAGAAACAAGCUUGUUAGGGCUCCAACCUUAUGAAAAGAAAUCUAAACAUUAGUUAGUAUGUGAAUUGCUUAAUAUUCAAAGACCCGAGAGAGCAUUUAAUUGGCUGACACUAGCUAUCUGAUUGACUUCUGGCUCUGUUCUAAGUGAAAGAAAAGAUCUAUCUGGUUCUUUGGCAUCUAUAGUGGAAAAAUUUACCAUCCCAUACAAAUGGAGGUGAGGAUUACACCAAAGGAAAUCCACCUGCUCUUUAGAUGGGAUAGAAUGAAAAAUGAGUGACCAAGAAAUAUCAAAGAUCUAACACAGAGAUCCUAUCCAAUAUUUGUUCCCCAAAUGGCAGAUGUCUACUAUGAAAAAUUAUUAUUUUAAUUUGCUGGUUGAGAGUUUCCUUGUCAAUGUUUUUUUUUUUAAUUAUACUUUAAGUUUUAGGGUACAUGUGCACAUUGUGCAGGUUAGUUACAUAUGUAUACAUGUGCCAUGCUGGUGCACUGCACCCACUAACUCGUCGUCUAGCAUUAGGUAUAUCUCCCGAUGCUAUCCCUCCCCCUCCCCCCACCCCACAACAGUCCCCAGAGUGUGAUAUUCCCCUUCCUGUGUCCAUGUGAUCUCAUUGUUCAAUUCCCACCUAUGAGUGAGAAUAUGCGGUGUUUGGUUUUUUGUUCUUGUGAUAGUUUACUGAGAAUGAUGAUUUCCAAUUUCAUUCAUGUCCCUACAAAGGACCUGAACUCAUCAUUUUUUAUGGCUGCAUAGUAUUCCAUGGUGUAUAUGUGCCACAUUUUCUUAAUCCAGUCUAUCAUUGUUGGACAUUUGGGUUGGUUCCAAGUCUUUGCUAUUGUGAAUAAUGUCGCAAUAAACAUAUGUGUGCAUGUGUCUUUAUAGCAGCAUGAUUUAUAGUCCUUUGGGUAUAUACCCAAUAAUGGGAUGGCUGGGUCAAAUGGUAUUUCCAGUUCUAGAUCCCUGAGGAAUCGCCACACUGACUUCCACAAUGGUUGAACUAGUUUACAGUCCCACCAACAGUGUAAAAGUGUUCCUAUUUCUCCACAUCCUCUCCAUCACCUGUGUUUCCUGACUUUUUAAUGAUUGCCAUUGUAACUGGUGUGAGAUGGUAUCUCAUUGCGGUUUUGAUUUGCAUUUCUCUAAUGGCCAGUGAUGAUGAGCAUUUUUUCAUGUGUUUUUUGGCUGCAUAAAUGUCUUCUUUUGAGAAGUGUCUGUUCAUGUCCUUCGCCCACUUUUUGAUGGGGUUGUUUGUUUUUUUCUUGUAAAUGUGUUUGAGUUCAUUGUAGAUUCUGGAUAUUAGCCCUUUGUCAGAUGAGUAGAUUGCAAAAAUUUUCUCCCAUUUUGUAGGUUGCCUGUUCACUCUGAUGGUAGUUUCUUUUGCUGUGCAGAAGCUCUUUAGUUUAAUUAGAUCCCAUUUGUCAAUUUUGUCUUCUGUUGCCAUUGCUUUUGGUGUUUUAGACAUGAAGUCCUUGCCCAUGCCUAUGUCCUGAAUGGUAAUGCCUAGGUUUUCUUCUAGGGUUUUUAUGGUUUUAGGUCUAACGUUUAAGUCUUUAAUCCAUCUUGAAUUGAUUUUUGUAUAAGGUGUAAGGAAGGGAUCCAGUUUCAGCUUUCUACAUAUGGCUAGCCAGUUUUCCCAGCACCAUUUAUUAAAUAGGGAAUCCUUUCCCCAUUGCUUGUUUUUCUCAGGUUUGUCAAAGAUCAGAUAGUUGUAGAUAUGCGGCGUUAUUUCUGAGGGCUCUGUUCUGUUCCAUUGAUCUAUAUCUCUGUUUUGGUACCAGUACCAUGCUGUUUUGGUUAUGUAGCCUUGUAGUAUAGUUUGAAGUCAGGUAGUGUGAUGCCUCCAGCUUUGUUCUUUUGGCUUAGGAUUGACUUGGCAUUGCGAGCUCUUUUUUGGUUCCAUAUGAACUUUAAAGUAGUUUUUUCCAAUUCUGUGAAGAAAGUCACUGGUAGCUUGAUGGGGAUGGCAUUGAAUCUGUAAAUUACCUUGGGCAGUAUGGCCAUUUUCACGAUAUUGAUUCUUCCUACCCAUGAGCAUGGAAUGUUCUUCCAUUUGUUUGUAUCCUCUUUUAUUUCCUUGAGCAGUGGUUUGUAGUUCUCCUUGAAGAGGUCCUUCACAUCCCUUGUAAGUUGGAUUCCUAGUUAUUUUAUUCUCUUUGAAGCAAUUGUGAAUGGGAGUUCACUCAUGAUUUGGCUCUCUGUUUGUCUGUUAUUGGUGUAUAAGAAUGCCUGUGAUUUUUGUACAUUGAUUUACUUCUUAGUACUUGAAAUUGUACCUACAGGAAAAUAAACAGAUUUCUUUUUACAGAGACUGAAAGAAGAAAAGGUCAAAGCAAACUGGACUAAAAGAUCUGUAACAUUUAAGAAAAUUAUUCUCAUAGUGAAGAUUAUAAAGCCUGUAAAAGAGCCAUUUAAAGACUUUAAAGACAUGCCAGGGUAUUAUGAUGUGUGUUACUAUCUCCAAUUAGAGAAAGUACUUAAUAUGAAACAAUUAGAUGAUGAAAUUAUAUCUCAUACUGAUUAAUGGAAUGAUUGCUAAGUACUUAUAGGUUUAUAUGUUAUUCUGUUAUAGUUUCACUUUUUUCCUUUCUUUUUUUUAAAAUUAGUCUGCUGAAUUUCCAUAAGGUGAAAAUAAAUAAGACAACCCUGAUUACAUUUUCAGUUUUGAAAUGCCAGUUAAAAAAAAAAAAAAAAAAGCCCAUGACCAAUCAUAUCAUUAGUUUUAAAACAGGAAUUGGACUAGUCUAGAUAAAAGCUGCUGACUAGUACAAAGGGAAGAAGAGGCAUUGAUAGAUUUAAAUGUUAAUAGGAUCUAUAAUCAUACUAAAUCUUGGUUAUUUUUACUGUUGAGGAAUUUGAGGAGAGACUUUAAAGGCUGGUGGGGAUUAAGAUACCUGUAGCCAAACUUAGUGAAUCUUCUUUUUCUCAGCACCUUUACCUUAUUAUAAACAAAUAUCAGGAAUAAAAGAUGAAGUUAUAUAAAACAAACAAAAUAUUUUCCUUUGUUAACUUUCACCAGACAGGAAAGUAUAGAAAAUAUUUGUCUGAGAGCAUAAUUGAUGAAAUUACAAUGUUUUAAAAUACCAUAAUGGUUCUUUCUUAUCUUCUUAUGAAACUUUAAUAUUUUCAAGU